AAGUCAGAGACCCCGGAUCGUCCAUCUCUGAGAGCUAUUUCGACCUUAACCGCCCAAGCGUCUUCGUUAAGAAAUCUGGAGAAACCAUUCCCAGUCAUCAACAAGGAGGGAGUUCGGCCAACCAGGAGUUAGACAUGCGCUGACCACAAGGGGGCGACACGGAACAUGGCAGGUGUUGGCACUGGCAGUGGGCAGCAGUGGAGGGGCUGCCGGCCCUGAUAGGACCCAACAAGAGCGGGACUGCGGUGGAAUGGUGGAGCAGGGCACGUGAGGCGAUUAGAACAAUGAUUGUCUCCUAUGAGGCUCUCAGCAGAAGUAGCUGACAUCGCUGUUGAAACGCAACGCUCACCUGCAGGAACUAAGUGCAUGCAACGGCAAAGAUGGAAAUGCCGUGUGGAUGGCCCGCCCCCUCUGGCAGUCAGGAGAAAGCCACGUUCCUCCCAGGCCUGUUGAGGAUACUGGAUUCUUGGAAGGCCGCGCAAACCUUCCAGCAUGCGGAAAGGAAUCGAUAAGCACCCUCGGAAGGUUUGCUUCCCUCCGUGGCCAGUGAUGCACAUUUAUCUCUGCCUGCAGCUGAGGGGCUCUGAGCAUUGGGAGCGGCUCACCUAGCAGUGGCCUCUCCCCGCAGGCUGCAUGUGGAAUCAGAACAAAGGAGGGUGGCUGCUCCUAGAAAGCACUGGAUCCAGCUGCGGGUGCGCCUCGCCAAGGCUCCCACGUCCACGCUUCUAGUGUGCAAACACCCAGAUGGCCAGGGAGGGGACCACCCACUGAUGGAAAAUGGCUGCCUCCCCCUCAGAGGGGAUUUCUGGCCAUGUCUGCCUCCCUCCCCCCCGCCCCCCAAGCACUGGGCCAAUCCCCUCACUUACAGCAGCCCCUCCUUUCCAUCUAAUGGGAGAGUGGGGUAAGACAGGCGGCAUUCAUCUCAUAGACCCACUGGCCACAAGGAAGUUAGAAUUUGAUUGCAGGGCUCAAAUAAAAC
This is a long non-coding RNA of Eptesicus fuscus (big brown bat), 979 nucleotides long. RefSeq lists it as uncharacterized. NCBI's taxonomy places the organism in Eukaryota, Metazoa, Chordata, Mammalia, Chiroptera, Vespertilionidae. The record is from RefSeq and is a predicted model, not a curated record. The transcript is spliced from 3 exons.